Molecule: transfer RNA, 62 nt
Filed under: Abrus daozhenensis
Lineage: Eukaryota; Metazoa; Arthropoda; Insecta; Hemiptera; Cicadellidae
Also listed under: 1 other name
Description: tRNA-Ser
Rfam family: tRNA
About the family: Transfer RNA (tRNA) molecules are approximately 80 nucleotides in length.
Source: RNAcentral
AGUUAUUUAGCUUAUGAAAAGCAUAUACCUUGAAAGUAUAAGAAAGAGUCAUUUAAUAACUU